UGUGUACUCCCUCCAUUCCAAAAUACUUGACUUCCAUUUGUCCAAAAAUGGAUGUACCUAUAUACUAAGACAUGUCUGGAUACAUAUAUAUUUUGACAAAUAGAAGGCAUGUAUUGUGCAACGGAGGGAGUAGAAU
Non-coding RNA from Triticum aestivum (bread wheat), 136 nucleotides. The record is from Rfam. NCBI's taxonomy places the organism in Eukaryota, Viridiplantae, Streptophyta, Magnoliopsida, Poales, Poaceae.